AUUUACUUAGUGGGAAGGAUUAUUCUUGAGGACAAAUAUACUAGAAAAUA
This 50-nucleotide small RNA is filed under the name Arabidopsis thaliana (thale cress). Its description in RNAcentral is "ATSL038050". The record is from RNAcentral. Lineage: Eukaryota; Viridiplantae; Streptophyta; Magnoliopsida; Brassicales; Brassicaceae.